This 253-nucleotide ribosomal RNA is filed under the name uncultured bacterium. Its description in RNAcentral is "partial 16S ribosomal RNA". It matches the Rfam family "Bacterial small subunit ribosomal RNA", at positions 524 to 776 of the family's 1533-position model. The record is from RNAcentral.
UACGAAGGGUGCAAGCGUUGUCCGGAAUUAUUGGGCGUAAAGCGCGCGCAGGCGGUCGUUCAAGUCGAGUGUGAAAGCCCCCGGCCCAACUGGGGAGGGUCAUUCGAUACUGAUCGACUUGAAGGCAGGAGAGGGAAGUGGAAUUCCCGGUGUAGUGGUGAAAUGCGUAGAUAUCGGGAGGAACACCAGUGGCGAAGGCGACUUCCUGGCCUGUUCUUGACGCUGAGGCGCGAAAGCUAGGGGAGCAAACGGG